This 564-nucleotide ribosomal RNA is filed under the name uncultured Glomeromycotina. RNAcentral's name for it is "SSU rRNA". It matches the Rfam family "Eukaryotic small subunit ribosomal RNA", at positions 548 to 1114 of the family's 1831-position model. The record is from RNAcentral. Lineage: Eukaryota; Fungi; Glomeromycota.
UUGGAGGGCAAGUCUGGUGCCAGCAGCCGCGGUAAUUCCAGCUCCAAUAGCGUAUAUUAAAGUUGUUGCAGUUAAAAAGCUCGUAGUUGAAUUUCGGGAUCAAUAUAUCGGUCAUGCUUAGGUAUGUACUGGUAUUAUUGAUCUCUCCCUUCUGAAGAACCAUGAUGUCAUUAAUUUGGUGUCGUGGGGAAUCAGGACUGUUACUUUGAAAAAAUUAGAGUGUUUAAAGCAGGCAUACGCUUGAAUACAUUAGCAUGGAAUAAUGAAAUAGGACGUUUGAUUCUAUUUUGUUGGUUUCUAGGAUCGACGUAAUGAUUAAUAGGGAUAGUUGGGGGCAUUAGUAUUCAAUUGUCAGAGGUGAAAUUCUUGGAUUUAUUGAAGACUAACUACUGCGAAAGCAUUUGCCAAGGAUGUUUUCAUUAAUCAAGAACGAAAGUUAGGGGAUCGAAGACGAUCAGAUACCGUCGUAGUCUUAACCAUAAACUAUGCCGACUAGGGAUCGGAUGAUGUUAAUUUUUUAAUGACUCAUUCGGCGCCUUACGGGAAACCAAAGUGUUUGGGUUC